AGUCGAGCGAUGAACACCUUCGGGUGUGAAUUAGCGGCGAACGGGUGAGGAACACGUGAAGAAUCUGCCUUCAACUCUGGGAUAACUCCGGGAAACCGGGGCUAAUACCGGAUAUGAGCCUCGAUCGCAUGAUUGGGGCUGGAAAGUUUUUCGGUUGAAGAUGACUUCGCGGCCUAUCAGCUUGUUGGUGAGGUAAUGGCUCACCAAGGCGACGACGGGUAGCCGGCCUGAGAGGGCGACCGGCCACACUGGGACUGAGACACGGCCCAGACUCCUACGGGAGGCAGCAGUGGGGAAUAUUGGGCAAUGGAGGAAACUCUGACCCAGCGACGCCGCGUGAGGGAUGAAGGCCUUCGGGUUGUAAACCUCUUUCAGUAGGGAAGAAGCGAAAGUGACGGUACCUACAGAAGAAGCACCGGCUAACUAUGUGCCAGCAGCCGCGGUAAUACAUAGGGUGCAAGCGUUGUCCGGAAUUAUUGGGCGUAAAGAGCUCGUAGGUGGUUCGAUACGUCGGAUGUGAAAAUCAGGGGCUCAACCCCUGACCUGCAUCCGAUACGGUCGAGCUAGAGUUUGGUAGGGGAGACUGGAAUUCCUGGUGUAGCGGUGGAAUGCGCAGAUAUCAGAGGAACACCGAUGGCGAAAGGCAGGUCUCUGGGCCAAUACUGACACUGAGGAGCGAAAGCGUGGGGAGCGAACAGGAUUAGAUACCCUGGUAGUCCACGCCGUAACGGUGGGCGCUAGUUGUGCGAACCUUUCCACGGGUUUGUGCGACGCAGCUNCGCAUUAAGCGCNNCGNUGGGGAGUACGAUCGCA
This 813-nucleotide ribosomal RNA is filed under the name uncultured bacterium. RNAcentral's name for it is "bacterial SSU rRNA". It matches the Rfam family "Bacterial small subunit ribosomal RNA", at positions 60 to 890 of the family's 1533-position model. The record is from RNAcentral.